GGGGGUGUAGCUCAGUCGGCAGAGCGCCUGCCUUGCACGCAGGAGGCCAGCGGUUCGAAUCCGCUCACCUCCA
Molecule: transfer RNA, 73 nt
Filed under: bacterium HR10
Lineage: Bacteria
Also listed under: 1 other name
Rfam family: tRNA
About the family: Transfer RNA (tRNA) molecules are approximately 80 nucleotides in length.
Source: Rfam by way of RNAcentral